This 505-nucleotide ribosomal RNA is filed under the name uncultured bacterium. RNAcentral describes it as "partial 16S ribosomal RNA". It matches the Rfam family "Bacterial small subunit ribosomal RNA", at positions 28 to 507 of the family's 1533-position model. The record is from RNAcentral.
GACGAACGCUGGCGGCGUGCCUAAUACAUGCAAGUAGAACGCACAGUUUAUACCUUAGCUUGCUACACCAUACACUGUGAGUUGCGAACGGGUGAGUAACGCGUAGGUAACCUGCCUGGUAGCGGGGGAUAACUAUUGGAAACGAUAGCUACUACCGCAUAAUAUUGAUUAUUGCAUGAUAAUUGAUUGAAAGAUGCUAUUGCAUCACUACCAGAUGGACCUGCGUUGUAUUAGCUAGUAGGUGAGGUAACGGCUCACCUAGGCGACGAUACAUAGCCGACCUGAGAGGGUGAUCGGCCACACUGGGACUGAGACACGGCCCAGACUCCUACGGGAGGCAGCAGUAGGGAAUCUUCGGCAAUGGACGAAAGUCUGACCGAGCAACGCCGCGUGAGGGAAGAAGGGUUUCGGAUCGGAAAGCUCUGUUGUAAGAGAAGAACGGGUGUGAGAGUGGAAAGUUCACACUGUGACGGUAGCUGACCAGAAAGGGACGGCUAACUACGUG